RNAcentral lists this ribosomal RNA (1110 nucleotides) under Cyphaleus sp. 2 NLG-2012. RNAcentral's name for it is "partial 16S ribosomal RNA". The record is from RNAcentral. Lineage: Eukaryota; Metazoa; Arthropoda; Insecta; Coleoptera; Tenebrionidae.
GUCUUUAAAAUUAACAAAAUUUGGCGGUAUUUUAGUCUGUUCAGUGGAAUCUGUUCUUUAAUUGAUAAUCCACGAUAAUUUGUACUUUGACUUUAAAUUUGCAUAUCGUCGUUAUUAAAAAUUUUAGGAUAUAAUUUUUUCAGAUCAAGGUGUAGUUUAUGUUUAAGCUAGAAUGGGUUACAUUAAAAAAUGUUGAUAAAAUGGAUUUGAGAGUAAGCUCUAAAAUAUGCACAUAUCGCCCGUCGCUUUCACUUUAAGGUGGAAUAAGUCGUAACAGAGUAGGCUUAUUGGAAAAUGAGCCUGGAAUGCAAAUUAGAGCUUGAUAAGCAUUUUAUUUACAUUAAAAGGUUAAUUGUGAAAUUCAAUUUAAUUUGAACUUUAAAGAUUAUUAAUUUUUUUUUAUUUAUUUUUUUAGUGGAAAAAUGUUUUGUUUUAUUAUUUAUUUGAACUAAUUUUAUUAUAGUUGAUUGUAUUGUGAAAGAGUUUUUUUAAGUGUUUGGAAGAAAGUUUUAUUUGUUGUACCUUGUGUGUCAGGGUUUAUUUAUUAGGAUUUCCCGAAUUCAGAAGAGCUAGUUUUACUGUUGAAUAAGUAUUUUUAAUUUUUUUUUAGUAAUGAAACGUUAUUCGUUUCUGAAUAUAUCUGGUUUUUUAAGAAAUUAAUUUAAUUUAGUUAGCUUGAAUAAAUUUAUUAAGGGAUAAGCUUUUAGAUUUAUUACUAAAAUUUAUUUUUGAUAGCAAUUUGUAGGAUUAGAAUUUUCCAUUUUUUAGAGGAUGUUAUAAUUAAUGUUUUUAGUUUUUUUAUUAAAAUUUUAUUUUUAAUUUUUUGUUAAGUAAUUUUGGUGAAAUUAGUAAGGUUAAUUUAAGGAACUCGGCAAUGUAAAUUUUCACCUGUUUAUUAAAAACAUGUCCUUUUGUUUAUGAUUUAAGGUCUGGCCUGCCCAAUGAUUGAAUGGCCGCAGUAUUUUGACUGUGCAAAGGUAGCAUAAUCAUUAGUUUCCUAAUUAGAAGCUGGAAUGAAUGGUUUGAUGAAAAAUUGACUGUCUCUUGAAUUUUAUUUUUAAGUGAGAAAGCUUAAAUGUUUUAUAAAGACGAGAAGACCCUAUAGAGUUU